GAGGGCGUACAAUGCCAAACUGAAAUAGAAGCUAGGGCGUACAACGCCGAACCUCGAUCAACCAGAUCGAAACACACGACAAGAGAGUCGAUGUGUUGCCUGGACCCAAGGUCCACAGAGAUACUGAAAUACAAAUGCAACCUGCUCUACAUGUCUAUCCACAACUAUACAAUGCAAUCAAGGGGUGCGAUAACCAAACGAUAACAAGCAAUGACAUGUAGAGUCUAAAUACAGGAAUAGAAAAACAGGAGAAGGAAGUGAAACGCUCUCACCGACUACCAGCUCGAAGCACCCACCUGUCACUGUCGCGUCGGAACACUGGGUACGCACAGAGUCUACCGGACCUAAGAAGAUCCACCAAGUCAGUAUCCAAACCACUAACCCCAAGCACGAGACUCACAAACUCCCACACAAGAUCCCCGAAUCGGUUUCCCAAAACCGAUCCCCGUAACUCACCGGAAGUCCCGAAACCACACCGGGACGCCGUCGGGACCCACUAAGUGUCCCGAACUCACCGACUCGUACCACGAGUCACCCACUGCCCCAAAACAUUCCAAUUUGGAUGGCUUGGCAGCGAACACGAGGUAACACAACAAUACGAUCAUCGCCGGAUAAUCGUACGAAUCCGGGUUCCCGGAAGUGUCUAUUUCGACACCGGAACCCUCCGUCGCUCACCUAUCAUCAUCGAACCCACAAAAUGACGAUGGUGACCAGCCAACAAGGCUCAGCGACAAAACACGAAGCAACCAAACACCGUCGGAAGGAAUCCGAACCGAAACCGUGUUCUUUCGGCGAAUUUCGCCGAAAAACGCACCGAAAUCGACCUACCGAUUUCCGCGAAAGCUAACGGACCAUGGACAAUCAGUCCAGCGAUCAUAACAAACUCCCACACACUGCCCACAGUAGCCACGCAAAGCACAAUUGCAUAAAAGACCCUCUAAUUACAUAAAAUAUCAUCAUUUUAUGUAAUUUGAGCGAUCAAGCAGCUCGUUCACGCAAACCGAGGACUUUCAAAGUCCGCAGAGACACGUACUGAUAGGUCUCGACGUACCGGAGUCCGUGCUCAUGAUCCGGAGCACAGCGGCUCGCUGUGGGAAGCGCGGGAGCAACCCGAAGGUUCAGCGAACAGCGCGCAGUCAGGGAAGAUCGCGCCGAACAGAACAAACCGGGCACUUCUGAUCCAAGGGAAGGUGAGCAUUGUGAUCAGCACUGACCAACGAUCACCGUGCUCACCUCCGGAGGCAUCAGGACAGCCUCGGAUCGCCGGAUAAGCGUGCGCAAGCCCAAAACAGCAGCCAAAAAGGCUGAAACGGAGCGACAUCGCCAAAACAGCGGAACGGCGUCUCCCCGACAGAAACUAAGGUGAGCACGAUGAUCAGCAACUUGCCAGGAUCAUCGUGCUCCCUUCCGUAGAGAUCGAAAAAGCUCGGGAAGCCCAGAACAAGAAACCCACUCAAUAAGCCCUAUUUCGGGCUUGGCCGGAGCAACCCUGCUCCGGCCGGCCUCCGGCGGCACGGCGGCGCGCGCGGGGCCCUGAGUCGGGUGAGGGGGAGGUGAGGAACACCGUGCUCACCUCAGACGGCGGCGAGGAGCGGCGGCGGCAGCGGCGGAGCAAGCCGAGCCCGUACCAACUAGAGCUCGGGUUCCAGGAGUUGCUGCGGCCACGGCGGCGGCCGGGGAGCUCCGGGACGGCGGAGGCGGGCUGCAGGAGGUCGGGG
Molecule: long non-coding RNA, 1718 nt
Filed under: Ananas comosus (pineapple)
Lineage: Eukaryota; Viridiplantae; Streptophyta; Magnoliopsida; Poales; Bromeliaceae
Description: long non-coding RNA (ACOM_LNC030280)
Source: RNAcentral